This 399-nucleotide ribosomal RNA is filed under the name uncultured bacterium. RNAcentral describes it as "bacterial SSU rRNA". It matches the Rfam family "Bacterial small subunit ribosomal RNA", at positions 509 to 906 of the family's 1533-position model. The record is from RNAcentral.
CAGCAGCCGCGGUAAUACGAAGGUCCCAAGCGUUGUUCGGAAUCACUGGGCGUAAAGGGUGCGUAGGCGGUUUGGUAAGUCAGAUGUGAAAUCCCGGGGCUCAACCCCGGAACUGCAUCCGAUACUGCCAGACUAGAAGACUGGAGAGGUGACUGGAAUUCUCGGUGUAGCAGUGAAAUGCGUGGAUAUCGAGAGGAACACUCGUGGCGUAAGCGAGUCACUGGACAGUAUCUGACGCUGAGGCACGAAGGCCAGGGUAGCGAAAGGGAUUAGAUACCCCUGUAGUCCUGGCAGUAAACGGUGUGCACUUGGUGUGAGGGGAAUCGACCCCCCUUGUGCCGGAGCUAACGAGUUAAGCGCACCGCCUGGGAAGUACGGCCGCAAGGCUAAAACUCAAAG